This 506-nucleotide ribosomal RNA is filed under the name uncultured bacterium. Its description in RNAcentral is "partial 16S ribosomal RNA". It matches the Rfam family "Bacterial small subunit ribosomal RNA", at positions 30 to 523 of the family's 1533-position model. The record is from RNAcentral.
AUUGAACGCUGGCGGCAUGCCUUACACAUGCAAGUCGAACGGCAGCAUGGAAGAGCUUGCUCUUCUGAUGGCGAGUGGCGAACGGGUGAGUAAAGCAUCGGAACGUACCGUGUAAUGGGGGAUAACGUAGCGAAAGUUACGCUAAUACCGCAUACGACCUGAGGGUGAAAGCAGGGGAUCGCAAGACCUUGCGUUAUACGAGCGGCCGAUGUCAGAUUAGCUAGUUGGUGAGGUAAAGGCUCACCAAGGCGACGAUCUGUAGCGGGUCUGAGAGGAUGAUCCGCCACACUGGGACUGAGACACGGCCCAGACUCCUACGGGAGGCAGCAGUGGGGAAUUUUGGACAAUGGGGGCAACCCUGAUCCAGCCAUGCCGCGUGAGUGAAGAAGGCCUUCGGGUUGUAAAGCUCUUUCGGCCGGGAAGAAAUCGCACAGGCUAAUACUCUGUGUGGAUGACGGUACCGGCAUAAGAAGCACCGGCUAACUACGUGCCAGCAGCCGCCGCAG